CUGCGCCCGAGAGCUGGGGCUCCGCGGCGCUCGCUGUGAGGAGCCCCUGCGGCGGUGGGUGCCGGGCAGUCGGUGACCGAGAGCCGCGGUCCGCGGAGGACCGCGCCGACCCGUGUGGUUGUGGAUAGCGUCCCAGGAAAACUGGCUAGGACCUCCAGUACAAUGCUGAAGAGACCUAAUGACAGCAGAUGUCUUUGUUCUGUUUCCAAUCUUGUAAAGUCAGCUAAGUAACUGGCUGAUACAUAAUCAACCAUCAGAUAGACAAAGCUGUCAGAAAAAAUAUGAGUUAAGGAAAGGCAAGGAAGACAUCCAGAUGGCCAAGAGACACAUGGAAAAAUGUUCAACAUCACUUGGCAUUAGGGAAAUACAAAUCAAAACCACAAUGAGAUACCACCUCAUGGCAGUCAGAAUGGCUAACAUUAAGUCAGGAAAUGACAGAUGCUGGCGAGGAUGCGGAGAAAGGGGAACCCUCCUACACUGUUGGUGGGAAUGCAAGCUGGUGCAGCCACUCUGGAAAACAGCAUGGAGGUUCCUCACAACGUUGAAACUAGAGCUACCCUAUAACCCAGCAAUCGCACUCCUGGGUAUGUACCGCAAAGAUACAAAUGUAGUGAUCUGAAGGGGCACUUGCACCCCAAUGUUUAUAGCAGCCAUAUCCACAGUAGCCACACUAUGGAAGAAGCUGAGAUGUCCAUCAACAGAUGAACAGAUAAAGAAGAUGUGGUAUGUAUCUACGAUGGAAUACUAUGCAGCCAUCAAAAAUCUGAAAUCUUGCCAUCUGUAGGAUGGAACUAUAGGGUUAUUAUGCUAAGUGAAAUAGGUCAGUCAGAGAAAGACAACUACCAUAUGAUUUCAAUGAUAUGUGGAAUUUAAGGAACAGAGGAUCAAAGGGGAAGAGAGGAAAAAAUAAAACAAGGCAAAGUCAGAGAAGGACAAGCUAUAAGAGACUCUUAAUCACAGGAAACAAACAGAGGGUUGUUGGAGGGGAGGUGGGUGGAGGGAUGGGGUGAUGGGGGGAUGGACAUAAAGGAGGGCGUGUGAUGUGAUGAGCACGGGCUUUUAUAUAAGGUGGAUGAAUCACUGACCUCGACCUGUGAAACCAAUCGUACAUUAUAUGUUAAUUAACUGAAUUUAAAUAAAAAAUAAAUAAGCUUAAGAAAAUAAAGGAAAGGCAAUCAUCCAUUCAUUUAUGUGUUUAGUAUGUGCUCCUGUUUACUAGGUCCUAUUCAGUGUACACAGUUGAACAGAAAUGUGUAUUCCCGUGGACUACGCAACAGAAGGGAAAAGAGAAGAGUCAGCAAAAUAAGUAGACAACACAUUAAGAGCCAGUUCUGCCACCAGACUGAUGGGAUUCUCAGUUCUUCUUGAAGCUACUGUUUGUUUGUUUUUCCUCCCAAACAGAGCCCUCAAGGUCACCCCUCAGACCCCGAGAUGCCUUGUACUAUCCAGUUCUCACCUCCUGGAUAAAUUAGAAGUUUUUUCUCACUUUACUCUCACUUUAAAGGCCUCUUACUUCUUUUUUUCUUAAAAAAAGAUUUUACUUACUUAUUUGAGAGAAAGAGAACACAUCAGGGGGAGGGACAGAAGGAGCAGACUCACCACUGAGCAAGGUGCCUGAUUUGGGGAUGUGGGACUCGAUUCCAGGACCCUGGAAUCAUGACCUGUGGCGAAGGCAGAUGCUUAACCAAGUGAGCCACCCAGGCACCCCAGCCAGAGUUCCAAUAUUGCCAAACAUGAGAAAAAAUACUGGAUAGAGACCCUAUGAAUGUAGCCUGUGUGGGAAAGCCUUCAGCCAGAGUUGACACCCUAUCACACAUCAGACAACCUAUACCAGAGAAAAACCAUACCAAAGUGGUGAAUGUGGCAAAAUCUUUACCCAGAGCACAAGUCUCACCAAAAAUCAGAAGACCGCCCACUGCAGAAAGACCUUACGGACAUAAUCAGUCUGCAAAAGCUAGCAUACAAUCCUUUUUAAAAUAAAGACUUAUUUAUUUUAUUUUUUAAAGAUUUUUAUUUAUUUGCCAGAGAUAGAGAGAGAGAGUACACACAA
Molecule: long non-coding RNA, 2050 nt
Organism: Mustela lutreola (European mink)
Lineage: Eukaryota; Metazoa; Chordata; Mammalia; Carnivora; Mustelidae
Exons: 3
Source: RefSeq, a predicted model, not a curated record